This 439-nucleotide ribosomal RNA is filed under the name uncultured bacterium. RNAcentral's name for it is "partial 16S ribosomal RNA". It matches the Rfam family "Bacterial small subunit ribosomal RNA", at positions 339 to 795 of the family's 1533-position model. The record is from RNAcentral.
CUACGGGAGGCUGCAGUGAGGAAUAUUGCACAAUGGGGGGAACCCUGAUGCAGCAACGCCGCGUGGAGGAUGACGCAUUUCGGUGUGUAAACUCCUUUUAUAUGUCAAGAAAAUGACGGUAGCAUAUGAAUAAGCACCGGCUAACUCCGUGCCAGCAGCCACGGUAAUACGGAGGGUGCAAGCGUUACUCGGAAUCACUGGGCGUAAAGGACGCGUAGGCGGGUUGGAAAGUCAGGUGUGAAAUCCUACAGCUUAACUGUAGAACUGCACUUGAAACUUCUAAUCUAGAGUAUGGGAGGGGGAAAUGGAAUUAGUGGUGUAGGGGUAAAAUCCGUAGAUAUCACUAGGAAUACCUAAAGCGAAGGCGAUCUCCUGGAACAUUACUGACGCUAAGGCGUGAAAGCGUGGGGAGCAAACAGGAUUAGAUACCCGCGUAGUC